UACGAAGGGGGCUAGCGCUGUUCGGAAUUACUGGGCGUAAAGCGUGCGCAGGCGGCUUCUCAAGUCAGGGGUGAAAGCCCAGAGCUCAACUCUGGAAUUGCCUUUGAGACUGAGUGGCUUGAGUACGAGAGAGGUGAGUGGAAUUCCCAGUGUAGAGGUGAAAUUCGUAGAUAUUGGGAAGAACACCGGUGGCGAAGGCGGCUCACUGGCUCGUAACUGACGCUCAUGCACGACAGCGUGGGGAUCAAACAGG
Molecule: ribosomal RNA, 253 nt
Filed under: uncultured bacterium
Lineage: Bacteria
Description: partial 16S ribosomal RNA
Rfam family: Bacterial small subunit ribosomal RNA
Source: RNAcentral